Molecule: long non-coding RNA, 2309 nt
Organism: Helianthus annuus (common sunflower)
Lineage: Eukaryota; Viridiplantae; Streptophyta; Magnoliopsida; Asterales; Asteraceae
Exons: 9
Source: RefSeq, a predicted model, not a curated record
GAAUAGACGCUGUUUCUCUUAUUCUUUCCCUCAUAUUCUAGGGUUUCUCUCAUUCUCCUCCUUCCCUCUCUGUCGCCUCUUUACGGAUAUUCAAAGAUCUUCAAUCCAUCAAUUCGAAUCAAGAUUCUGUGAAGAACUUUUGAUUUUAGUUGGAAACUGUUAUCGGUUAUGGAGUAUUUGACGACGAAAUCGGUGAAUACGAGAGGUUGAUUGGAAAGCGAUGCCGGAACUAGCGUCGGAUUGUAGGUUCAGUGACGGCGAUACGACAAGGUUUUAUAGAUCUGUAUCGUUGAGUGGAUUUUGGUCGAAGCAUCGCGAUGACGUUGGCUGCAAUUAACUCCAGAAGCAGGUGAUUGAUACGUAAGCCGUUUCAGAUCGCUUCACGUAUUAGGGAUUUUCAUUCGAUUUACUAAGAUGGACAAUCCCUUAUCGCAAUGGUACAUGUUUUAGAUUUAGUGGUAAGAGUCAUAUUUUGAUGGCCAAUUCAAAAUUAAAAUCUGAGAUGAAAAACCUAUGGGUAACCUGGUGAUUUAAAGCGCUUCUCAAACUUUAGUGAGUUGAACAUGCUCUAUUCUAUAGAGACGAAUCUGGGUGAUUUUGGGUGGCGGUUAUGAUGCAAGGGAUGGUACAUUGGUUUAUAUUAUUUCCAGUAUUGAUAAAGAUCUACAGUUGCGAACAUGGGUGUUGUCCCUCUCUGAUCCAAAUAUUUACUAUGGAAAACUAAAAGGAUAUAUAAUUUAAUAACAAGAAGAGCUAUGCGGGAAUAAUUGUCACACUACGGUUUGAGGACACCCAGGCAAAACAACAACAAUUCUAGAAACGAGCAUGGGAAGGAAAACCCAGAGAGGGAAUUAAAGUGGAGAUUGUAUCACCAAAAUCAUCGAAAAUUCCCCAAGAAACCAUAAAGGAAAAACUAGAAAUAAUGUGGGCACGGUAUUGCUUUUUCAGAGGUGGGCAUAUAAUCUUGCAGUGAAGUACGCGUUGAGGGAGUAGAGACGUUGGACUAUUUGGAUAAUAUGUUCAAGAAAAACAGGUACAAGGCAAAAGCCUUUUCUUUUGAUGGUGAGGUAAGAGGUAAGAGGUAAGAUAUGGUUUUAUUUUACCUUCAAAUGUAUUGCAUUCAACAUAGUUAUAACAUAAUUAUUUAUAAACAGAAGGGGUUCUUUUUGGACAAAGACACCACAAGGCCUUUUAUGAUGAUGUUGUCAAUAUACAUGUACUCUCCUACACCCUUUAUAGAAGUAGAAGCACUUUAACAAUUUACGCAUUUAUGUAACUUCUUUGAUUGCUUUUUGUCUCGAAUCGGUUUUAACUUGGUUUAUUAAAAUAUUCAUCGUAGAAAUCAAUUGCUAAUCGUGUUUUAUUUAAUGUAAUUAUUACAAGUUUUCUUCUUAAGUCAACAAAUUUUUGUGAAAUUUUGAGCUGCAUAAAUAUAGUAGGACCGGUAGAUUGUUAAAUUAGUGAGCUUGAAUAACCCUGUUUAUAAGGUAUGCUGAAUAGUCAUCAUUGAUCAAUACUUGACCUUAUAUUGAUUGGAUAAUGGGUAAUAGAAACUUUGUCUCUUUUAUUUUUGUAUUUUGCUUUCUUAGAGUAAAAAACUUCUUUGGGUUUUGAAGGUAUUAAUGUCGAAUUUCUUUGCUUUUGCUGCGGGUUUAUUACAGGUAUGCUUUAUGUUACUAAGAACUCUUUUUCAUAUUUACUUUCCACUUAGAGUAGAUGUGUAUGUUUGAACCUCAACUUUGUUUUACAUUUUCAAUUGACGUUGAACUGCUAUAAGGUCUUAACCAUGUCAAGGGGAAUUUGACUUAAGACACUAUUGCUUUUACACGUUUUCAUAUAAAUUCUUCUUCUACUCUUAUUUAACUGCUAUAUUGGUAGUUGAUGUUUUUACUUGAUGUAAGCUAAAGCAUACUUAAGGGAAUAAAUGCUCGGUCACAAAUUGGUGUAUGGAUGAAGUUGAAAGUUUGAAGUUUGGUGAUUGGAAGAUGGGUGCCUUGAAGAACGGCAGCCAGAAGAUUAAAGUCUUGAAGAUUGAACAUUGUUAUGUUUUUAGUAAUUAUUAAUAAAAAAUGAUAAAUGCAGUAUGGAGAGUGUUAACUGGCAGGAUUCCGACGUCAAUGGCUUUGCAACUAAAGGAGUAAAUUAGGAUCACAAUGUUAUCAUUAUGAAUAAUCUCAAUGCUUUUCUUUGUUUAUUUGAUGAAACAAGUUCUCAUACCCAACUUUUUUAUAUUUACUAUGAGGGGUAAAUGAGAAUAUAUUGGUGUAACUUUUGUUUAGAUGAAAGUGGUGGGUUAAUUAUUAUAUUAA